This is a long non-coding RNA of Mauremys mutica (yellowpond turtle), 2224 nucleotides long. RefSeq lists it as uncharacterized. The transcript is spliced from 7 exons. The record is from RefSeq and is a predicted model, not a curated record. NCBI's taxonomy places the organism in Eukaryota, Metazoa, Chordata, Testudines, Geoemydidae.
UGGAGCAGGCUUCAGGGGUAAGCCCUGAUAAAAGGGCAGGAACUGGACUUCCAAGGAGAGAGCCUGGGAGGUGUUCAGUGGAGGAACAGCAAAGGGAAUUUAAGAGUCAUGAAAGGCCAAGCCUAAGGAAGAUGGAACUUGGUUUGAGUUUGUACUUUUAGUUUGGGUUUGUUAAGGCAUUACAGGGAGGACUCCAAGUCCUAGCCCUGAGUGAAUGGUGAACCCAGAAACGUCUGGAAGGAGAAUGCCUGAGAAAGGCUGAGUAGGAGGAAGCCCAGGAAGACAGCAGCAAAGAGUUGGAUGAAGCAGUUCUCUGUUCCUGGUCAUAGGAUCUCUGGGCUGGAAAAUGUUGUAGUGAGGGCCCAGGUUCCCCUACCAGCCUCUGGUAUGGUGAUAUGUGGCUGGAGAAGGGGACAAGGAUGUCAGAGAGCCCUGAGAAAAGAAGGUGAGGCCCAUGGGGCCUACAGUCAGAGCCGAAGACCUGAUACAAGUUCUUGGAACUUGCUUUGUUGGACUUUUUGUUACCCUCGAAGGAAUGGACUUAAAUUGAGACCUGUCUGGAAAGCCGCGUUGUGGGAAGCGACAGGCUACCGGAGGACUAGAGAUGCUGUGAGCGAGGGGCGCCAAAUCGGGAGAGAACCGCUAUGCCACACCUGGCCAUGAGGAGGCAUUCUAGAGGUGAAACAGUUCAGCAAUACUGACCUGAAUUUGCUAAAUGGUUCAGUCCACCCAAAUGCACAUUUUUUUGGCCAGGAAAAGGUUCAUUUGAAGAAUUUUGAGCAGCUCAGGGUCUUUUCGCCACCUCAAUGAUAGUAGAAGGAAUGGACAAAAAUAACAUGGAUAACGUGCAUGAAAGAAGCUCUGUACAAUUAAGUUGUACUGAUGAAUGACAUGAGACAAGGGCCUAUUCCAGGCGUACGAGCUAUCUGUUUUACUAGCCUCCACAAUUCUUCCAUAGAUGCUUUUACUGUCCAGCUGCCUGAUGUGUGUACACACCAUGAGACUUGCAGGAUUGGGAAGGAAUUUUCUCCCAGGAGGAGAAUGCGAGGACCUACACAUUAUAGAUGACUGAUAGACUGCAAAUCCAAAGGAUACAUCAGCUGCAGAGGUUGAACUAGUGCAUAAUGUCUUGGGCAGAUGCAACGCCCGUCCAAAUACCAAGCGAUAAGGUGGAGGGACCCUGGAUUUGGAUGUCUGAUCUUGCCCUUGUCUUGCGUCAAGAGAUCUAGAAACAACUGGAUACUGACAGGUGGACAGCCUGACAAAGUUAGGGAACCAAAAUUGUCUGAGCCACCUGGGAGCAAUGAGGAUAAUCACUGCCCCAUCCCACUGAAUCUUUCCGAGGACUUCAGGUAAGAGAGGAAUUGAGGAAAGGGACUGUAAGGGUCCCACACACGAGAUUUGGAGGGCACCCACUUUGGAGUCCUGAUCUUGACGGGAAUCCCCAUUGUCUGAAUAUGCUCUUCACCAGGGAAUCAUGUAGUUCCUAUUCAUGAGUGAUCACGAAGUGUCUGCUGCGUCUGUCCAGAGUCGUGCUGAUACAUGUUAUGGUCUCCGAUGGAACUAAAUUCUGUGUUCACACAGAUUCCCAGUAAUUUUAGAAGACUGAAUAGAGAGGAGGUUGAUGUCAGUACCUCCUGAUGAAAUCUCCCUGUCAACAGCCAACCGUCUAGGUAAGGAAAGACUGUUGAGCCAUGGCACCGGAUGUGUGCAGCCACUACUGAAAGCAUUUUCAUACAUACUCUGGGUGCUAUUUCUAGUCCAAAGUGGAGUAUCCUAUAUUGAUAAUGGUUUGGACCUACAAUGAAACUCAGGAAUCUUUUGUGAGAGGGUAAAUGUCUACAUGAAAAUAGGCAUAAGAAUGGUGAUCCAUCCCGUUGCCUAUUCCCAGCUUCUGGCAAACAGAGGAUAGGAACACCAUCUCUGUCCAUCCUGGCUUAUAGCCAUUCAUGGACCUAUCCUCUAUGAAUUUAUCUGCAUAUGCGCAGAGUGUUAGGCGUAGUCAGAAUCACAAGAUAAAAGAGGGCUCCCACAUUGGGUAAAAUGAGUUCCCUAUGGGAAAACUCCAGCAGGAACCAUCCCUCUACUGAUGAUCAAUUGUCAAGGCAGCCAUCAAACCCUAAGAAUAUUGUGAUGUGAGAGCAUGACUAUAUUUGUAACUUGUGCAUAGGUCUUGAUAGGAUUUCUAUAUGCAUGGGUAAUUGUAACUUUAAUAAAACUUAUA